Molecule: ribosomal RNA, 119 nt
Organism: Gadus morhua (Atlantic cod)
Lineage: Eukaryota; Metazoa; Chordata; Actinopteri; Gadiformes; Gadidae
Source: Ensembl
GCUUACGGCCAUACCAACUUAGGCAUGCUCGAUCUCGUCUGAUCUCGGAAGCUAAGCAGGGUCGGGCUUGUUUAGUACUUGGAUGGGUGACUGCCUGGGAAUACCAGGUGCUGUAAGCA